ACUUGAAAAUUAAUAAGAUUGUUUUGUUGUUCAAUUUGAUAUUAAAGUUAAAUUAAGUAAAUUUAAGUCAGUGUAUUUUUAAAAAAUAGGAUUAUUUUAACUAUAGUAAAUUAGUACUGUGAAGGAAUUUUAAAAUUGAUAAUAUAAUUAAUAAAAGGGAAUUUAUGUUAUUGUAUCUUGUGUAUCAGAGUGGAUUUAAUAGAAUUAAAUAUUUUAUAUUUCUCGAAUUUAAAAGAUUUAAUUGAGUAGAAUAGUUAUUGUAUCAUAAAUAUUAUUAAUACUUAGUUGGUAAUGAAAUGUUAUUCGUUUUUAAGGAUAUCUAGUUUUUUAAUAAAUGAAUUUAAUUCAGAAAAUAAUGAUUAUUAUUUAUAUUUUUAUAAAAAUAUACUUUAUUUUUAAUUUUUAAGGGGAAAAUCUCUUGGAAAAAUUUUUAUAAUAGUUUUGGUAGUUGAGAAUUUUGUGAAUUUAGAAUUUGUUAAUAAUUAAAGGAUGUUAAAAUUUAAUUCUUAUUUUAGAAGAUUUUAUGUUUAUUUAAAGUAUUUAUUAAAAUAAAUUAAAGAAUUUUGAAUUUUUGAUAAAAAUGAUUUAAUUAGUAAAUGUUUAUGUGGAAGUGUAAAUAAAUGGUUUGUUAAUAUGAAGAAUUAGGCAAAUAUUUUGCUCGUCUGUUUAAUAAAAACAUAGUUUCUUGAUUAUUUAGGAAAUUUAACCUGCCCACUGAAAAAUUUUGAAGGGCCGCAGUAUUUUGACUGUGCAAAGGUAGCAUAAUCAUUAGUCUUUUAAUUGGAGGCUGGUAUGAAUGGUUGGACGAGGUAAAUACUAUUUUAUGUUAAUUAAAAUUGAAUUUCGAUGUUAAGUAAAAAUACUUAAAUGUUAUUAAGGGACGAGAAGACCCUAUAGAGUUUAAUAUAUGUAGUUUUAAUUGAGUUAGAGAGUAAUUUUUGGUUAAUUAUGUAAUAUAUUUAAUUGGGGUGAUUUGAAGAUAAUUAAAACUCUUUUUAGAAUUAAAUAUUUUAAUUAAUUUGUUGAUCCAUAUUUGAUGAUUAUAAGAUUAAAUUACCUUAGGGAUAACAGCAUAAUUCUUUUUGAGAGUUCAUAUCGAAAAAGGAGAUUGUGACCUCGAUGUUGGAUUAAGAUAAAUUUUGGGUGCAGAUGUUUAAUUAUUAGGUCUGUUCGACCUUUAAAUUCUUACAUGAUCUGAGUUUAAACCGGCGUGAGCCAGGUUGGUUUCUAUCUUUAAUACAUUUUAAUACUUUAGUACGAGAGGACCAAGUAUUAGAAAUAAUUUUAUAUUUUUGAUUAUUAAU
RNAcentral lists this ribosomal RNA (1304 nucleotides) under Tropidomantis tenera. RNAcentral's name for it is "16S ribosomal RNA". The stretch from base 612 to 1304 matches the Rfam family "Archaeal large subunit ribosomal RNA", at positions 1423 to 2835 of the family's 2987-position model. The record is from RNAcentral. Lineage: Eukaryota; Metazoa; Arthropoda; Insecta; Mantodea; Nanomantidae.